This 253-nucleotide ribosomal RNA is filed under the name uncultured bacterium. Its description in RNAcentral is "partial 16S ribosomal RNA". It matches the Rfam family "Bacterial small subunit ribosomal RNA", at positions 524 to 776 of the family's 1533-position model. The record is from RNAcentral.
UACGUAGGGUGCGAGCGUUAAUCGGAAUUACUGGGCGUAAAGCGUGCGCAGGCGGUUCGUUAAGUUCGUUGUGAAAGCCCCGGGCUCAACCUGGGAACUGCAAUGGAAACUGGCGGGCUUGAGUGUGGCAGAGGGGGGUGGAAUUCCGCGUGUAGCAGUGAAAUGCGUAGAUAUGCGGAGGAACACCGAUGGCGAAGGCAAUCCCCUGGGCCUGCACUGACGCUCAUGCACGAAAGCGUGGGGAGCAAACAGG